UACAGAGGGGGCAAGCGUUGUUCGGAAUUACUGGGCGUAAAGGGCGCGUAGGCGGCCUGUUAAGUCGAACGUGAAAUCCCCGGGCUCAACCCGGGAACUGCGUCCGAUACUGGCUGGCUUGAAUCCGGGAGAGGGAUGCGGAAUUCCAGGUGUAGCGGUGAAAUGCGUAGAUAUCGUAAGGAAGACCAGUGGCGAAGGCGGGUCUCUGGACAGUUCCUGACGCUGAGGCACGAAGGCCAGGGGAGCAAACGGG
This 253-nucleotide ribosomal RNA is filed under the name uncultured bacterium. RNAcentral's name for it is "partial 16S ribosomal RNA". It matches the Rfam family "Bacterial small subunit ribosomal RNA", at positions 524 to 776 of the family's 1533-position model. The record is from RNAcentral.